CCUACGGGGGGCUGCAGUGAGGAAUAUUGGUCAAUGGACGAGAGUCUGAACCAGCCAAGUAGCGUGAAGGAUGACUGCCCUAUGGGUUGUAAACUUCUUUUAUAUGGGAAUAAAAUGUUCCACGUGUGGGAUUUUGUAUGUACCAUAUGAAUAAGGAUCGGCUAACUCCGUGCCAGCAGCCGCGGUAAUACGGAGGAUCCGAGCGUUAUCCGGAUUUAUUGGGUUUAAAGGGAGCGUAGGUGGAUUGUUAAGUCAGUUGUGAAAGUUUGCGGCUCAACCGUAAAAUUGCAGUUGAAACUGGCAGUCUUGAGUACAGUAGAGGUGGGCGGAAGUCGUGGUGUAGCGGUGAAAUGCUUAGAUAUCACGAAGAACUCCGAUUGCGAAGGCAGUUCACUGGACUGCAACUGACACUGAGGCUCGAAAGUGUGGGUAUCAAACAGGAUUAGAUACCCGAGUAGUC
This 460-nucleotide ribosomal RNA is filed under the name uncultured bacterium. Its description in RNAcentral is "partial 16S ribosomal RNA". It matches the Rfam family "Bacterial small subunit ribosomal RNA", at positions 338 to 795 of the family's 1533-position model. The record is from RNAcentral.